AUUGAACGCUGGCGGCAGGCUUAACACAUGCAAGUCGAGCGGGGAAAGGUAGCUUGCUACCUGACCUAGCGGCGGACGGGUGAGUAAUGCUUAGGAAUCUGCCUAUUAGUGGGGGACAACAUCUCGAAAGGGAUGCUAAUACCGCAUACGUCCUACGGGAGAAAGCAGGGGACCUUCGGGCCUUGCGCUAAUAGAUGAGCCUAAGUCGGAUUAGCUAGUUGGUGGGGUAAAGGCCUACCAAGGCGACGAUCUGUAGCGGGUCUGAGAGGAUGAUCCGCCACACUGGGACUGAGACACGGCCCAGACUCCUACGGGAGGCGGCAGUGGGGAAUAUUGGACAAUGGGGGGAACCCUGAUCCAGCCAUGCCGCGUGUGUGAAGAAGGCCUUUUGGUUGUAAAGCACUUUAAGCGAGGAGGAGGCUACCGAGAUUAAUACUCUUGGAUAGUGGACGUUACUCGCAGAAUAAGCACCGGCUAACUCUGUG
Molecule: ribosomal RNA, 485 nt
Filed under: uncultured bacterium
Lineage: Bacteria
Description: partial 16S ribosomal RNA
Rfam family: Bacterial small subunit ribosomal RNA
Source: RNAcentral